GUAGGUGGCAAGCGUUGUCCGGAUUUACUGGGCGUAAAGAGCGCGCAGGCGGUCGUACAAGUCGCGUGUGAAAGCCCCCGGCUCAACUGGGGAGGGUCACGCGAUACUGUUCGACUCGAAGGCAGGAGAGGGAAGCGGAAUUCCCGGUGUAGUGGUGAAAUGCGUAGAUAUCGGGAGGAACACCAGUGGCGAAGGCGGCUUCCUGGCCUGUUCUUGACGCUGAGGCGCGAAAGCUAGGGUAGCAAACGGGAUUAGAUACCCCGGUAGUCCUAGCCGUAAACGAUGGACACUAGGUGUUGGUGGUAUCAACCCCGCCAGUGCCGUAGCUAACGCAUUAAGUGUCCCGCCUGGGGAGUACGGCCGCAAGGCUA
Molecule: ribosomal RNA, 371 nt
Filed under: uncultured bacterium
Lineage: Bacteria
Description: bacterial SSU rRNA
Rfam family: Bacterial small subunit ribosomal RNA
Source: RNAcentral